RNAcentral lists this ribosomal RNA (468 nucleotides) under uncultured bacterium. Its description in RNAcentral is "partial 16S ribosomal RNA". It matches the Rfam family "Bacterial small subunit ribosomal RNA", at positions 28 to 507 of the family's 1533-position model. The record is from RNAcentral.
GACGAACGCUGGCGGCGUGCUUAACACAUGCAAGUCGAACGGAAAGGCCCUGCUUUUGUGGGGUGCUCGAGUGGCGAACGGGUGAGUAACACGUGAGUAACCUGCCCUUGACUUUGGGAUAACUUCAGGAAACUGGGGCUAAUACCGGAUAGGAUCUCCUGCUGCAUGGUGGGGGUUGGAAAGUUUCGGCGGUUGGGGAUGGACUCGCGGCUUAUCAGCUUGUUGGUGGGGUAGUGGCUUACCAAGGCUUUGACGGGUAGCCGGCCUGAGAGGGUGACCGGCGACAUUGGGACUGAGAUACGGCCCAGACUCCUACGGGAGGCAGCAGUGGGGAAUAUUGCACAAUGGGCGGAAGCCUGAUGCAGCAACGCCGCGUGCGGGAUGACGGCCUUCGGGUUGUAAACCGCUUUCGCCUGUGACGAAGCGUGAGUGACGGUAAUGGGUAAAGAAGCACCGGCUAACUACGUG